GUGUGUGUGUGUGUGUGUGUGUGUGUGUGUGAGAGAGAGAGAGAGAGAGAGAGAGAGAGAGAGAUUGAUUCGUCCCCAUCCGGAGGUAGAUUUCGAAGAGCAAACCCAGCAGAAGCUAUGCAAAUACGAGGCUUGCUUGGCUCCUGGCUUUGGCAAGGUGGAAACGAGGAUCAGUGUGGGUUUGCUUGCUCUCUCUGUCUCUCUCUGCUCGUCUUUGGACUGGCACAGGAGCAAAUCCAACGGUAAAAGGUGUGAUCAAGAAUUGCAACGUGGGAAAGAGUAGCAAUGCCCCGUGAUACCUUUAGCACAACGGCGAUGGCCGUCACAGAAAGCCCAAGAUCUCUUUGUGGUGUGCUUGCAUGUAUGAAUGCAUGCCUCUGUCUCAAAGGAAGAAGGUGAUGUGUCAAGUCCAUUGGCUACACUGAGAAGCUCAGCAGAAGUUCGGCUGACUUCAUCAGAAGCAGAACCAGGCCUAUUAAGAUGAGCAGCACACUGCAGCCAAUGCACUUGGGGAAUGAAAACCAAGAAGAGACUGCAAACAUUUCCUCUUGGAUUGGCAAGACUGAGAACAUUGUUCAUCUUUGAUGAGCAGCUGUAUGAAGAUCUUCAUGUGCACACAGCCUGCUGUGUGGGAUGACUGGUGCCAUUAACUAAAAUGAUGUAAACAGACCAUGUCUGAAAAGAAUGACAUUUUGAACUGCAAACUCUUCCAAAGACAUCAGGCACAGAAUCUCCACCUCUAAACUUACACCUGCAGGACAGCAUUCUACAGCACCUUUUGCUUCUGUAUGUGGAUCUGCUUGUGCACAGCUGGCUUUUGUGUGUACAUAAGUAGCUGCACAUUGUCUCUGUAGUAAACAUUCCCAGCUCAUCUCUCAGCCCAAGCACAUACUCAAGGCCACAAUAUUGGUUUCAAGUAGCAAUUACCUCUCAGGUUUGUCUGCAGCAUACAGAAAAUAAUGACCUACCUGAAAGGGUUGUUUGCUGAGAAUUUUAUGGAUGCUAAGAAAGUUCUGUAUAAAUAUGACACAUUAUCAUUAAUUAACUUAUAUUAUGUAAAAGUUUUUUUUUUUUUUUAAAAAAGGACUGAGGUGAACAGAAAGCAGAUACAUCUUAGACCAAAGAUAAACUUAAUUGAUUUAGGCAUUGUUUUUACAAUGGUUGUGGCUCCUUGUCUGAGCAAUUUAUAGCCAACCAUAAGUGUUUGCCUCACUAUAUUGUGUGAGAGGACUGAUGGCUACCAGAUCAGUGUUAUAUAGCUCCAGCUUGGCCAGCACUUCCUUUAUAAAAAUGCUUUUUGAAGAAUUUCUCACUCAGAAAUACAGAUUUUGCCUUGGAACAAGAAACUCCCAUGUACUGCCUCAUUCCCACAAGUAGUAAAAAUAAAUCAGCAGACAGGACAGUGUUUAUCCAUUGGCCAAUGGCAUAUGUCACAUGGUUGUUUAAAGGGCUGUUAUUUCACUGUGAUCAUCCACCGAGGUCCAGAUUAAAAAUACGAUGGGCCAGGAACAGAGGACAAUGCAAGAAUUGUGCCUGCUCUGUGCUGCCCCGUACCCACACACCCCUGGUACAUUAGGCACCAAUGAAGUGUUUCAAGAUAUCAAGCUUCUUUUCAGCAGCUUGGGCAAGCCAGGAAAUAAAUUGACUUUGGUGUUUGAGCAAGAGGCUGCAGUUGUACAAAGUCAGAUCCUUAUCUGACAUAAAUGGAGCUUUCUCCUCUGACUUUGAGGGCGUUGUGCCAUCUCGUAUAAUUUGAAGAUCCAGCACACGCCUUUCAAAUGGCACCUCUGCUAGGAGUGAGAAUUCAAUUCACCCUACAAAGUCUAAUCCUUCUCUGGCUAAAGGGUAAAUACUAAACGAAAUUGAUCAACCAAAGUCAUGGAUUGAAUGGCAAUAGAGUCCCCUCCAUGUAACCCACACAAAAGUUUUCAUGGAUACACAUUUUCAGACAAAAAAACCCCUCAAGAUAUUCCCUCCCACAGUUUCAGACAAUAUAAACCCGGGCAGAGUCGCCAUCUGUUGUUUCCCUCCUCUGGGAAUUCCCCAUCUCUGCACUGAUUCUAAACCUCUCUGCCUGCUCUCCUGAUGACUAAACUUCCUCAUUGGUUAGCCUAUCCCUUCAUCUAGCAUAUAAUAGUCUUACAACCACUUUAACUGCCAUAGUCUGGUGAAGUGCUGAUAAUUUUGGCUCAAAUUUCCUUGCUGCCACCCACCCACAGCACACAUUGUCUAUGGUUCUCUUGGUUCCCUGGAAGGAGAUAAUGACUCUCAACAAGCCUGAAGUGUGUAGCGCAGGUCUGCCUUUAAUCUAUUUCCAAAUUCAUGAAUGCUUUGGUAAACUAGAAAACAUUAGGGUGAUGAAGGCCAAAAUAGCUUUUGUCUCUGUACAGCUUUGGGUAUGAUCCAGCCCCAUUGAAGAAACAGCACCCAUGUACAAAGGAUUCCUGUACAGCUCAAUAAAGGGCUGUCAUGUUCCAAGGCAAUAAAAGAAGCACCUGUGCUCAGUGAUACCAUGUGAUCAUAUAUCCACAUCCAGGGCUCUGUCCCUGUAUGACAAUAAGGAGGGCUAGGCAGGGCGGGAGGGAUAAGGAAGGUGACAUAGACCUUCCAUACUCUGUAAUGGUUCAGUGGGCCGUGAAUGUCUGAGCUUGUAUGCACGUCAGGGGGUAUAGGAGGAGGAAAUACCAGUGUACGGGGUUGGGGGCAGAACUCUGCUAAGCCCCUUAAGAAGUCUUUACGUGAAGGCACUGUGUAUGAAGGAGUGUGUCAUAUCCAUGCAAUGCAAGCCCCACUGUGUCCAGUGGUGUGCAUACGAUUGCAGUUUUAAUAAUUUGAAGAUAGUGAAUGCCAAGGAAGUUGUGCUGUGGGAUGGUGAUGGAUAGGUGAAACAGAGCACCAGAAUAACAGUCAUCUCAUGCAGUUCCACCAAGGCCUGCACUGAGAAGGUUAAACAAGGUCACUUCCUUGGUACCCAUUUCAAAAGCAAUCAAUCAUGUCACUCCAAAGCAUUGUUAUGGUAACUAGUAAAAUGUGAAGAAGAAAAAGUCAUGCACGAUUUCUGUCACAGCCAACCUGCUUCAAGUGCUAUUUAAAAUGGUUUGAAAUGCAGUCGGCAUCCUAGACCGAUGACCCUUGAAUUGUAAACCAUUUUGUUUCAUUAGAUAUACAGGGCUGCUCUUUCCAGCAUUUUGUACAUCUGCCAAUUGCAAUCUUUAAAGUAAAGAAAGAUUAUAUUGUA
This is a long non-coding RNA of Podarcis raffonei (Aeolian wall lizard), 3238 nucleotides long. RefSeq lists it as uncharacterized. Lineage: Eukaryota; Metazoa; Chordata; Lepidosauria; Squamata; Lacertidae. The transcript is spliced from 5 exons. The record is from RefSeq and is a predicted model, not a curated record.